UACAGAGGGCCCGAGCGUUAAUCGGAGUAACUGGGCUUAAAGGGUGCGUAGGCGGACUCGCAAGUGCUUUGUGAAAUCCCACGGCUUAACCGUGGAACUGCUUGGCAUACUGCGGGUCUUGAGGUCGGCAGAGGUGGUCGGAACUCUAGGUGUAGCGGUGAAAUGCGUAGAUAUCUAGAGGAACGCCGAUGGUGAAGACAGGCCACUGGGCCGAUUCUGACGCUCAGGCACGAAAGCGUGGGGAGCAAAC
Molecule: ribosomal RNA, 250 nt
Filed under: uncultured bacterium
Lineage: Bacteria
Description: partial 16S ribosomal RNA
Rfam family: Bacterial small subunit ribosomal RNA
Source: RNAcentral